GCUCACUCUUAGACACAACAGCUCUCUGUCUCGGGUUCACGGUCUUUUCCGUAAACGUUUCUUCAGCUUCAGUCAUCCAAGGAAGCACUGCUGAUGGCAUCCUCCAGAAGAUCAUGACAGGGCAGCAGACAGACCAGGUGACCUAUUUGACCACUGGCAAAUCAGGAUGUGGAGUGGAAUGUAAUCGUUGGCGGUUUGAGGUAACUACUGGCUCUACCUGUUGAUUAGUUUGAAUGCUGGCAUGGCCACACUCAAAAAAAUGUUUCUGAAUGUAAUCAAGUAACCUUUAUGUGAUUAGAUGCCAUUAGGCUGCUGUGUGUGUUACACAGUUACACAUUUCAGCACCAUAGGUGGCGGUAGUGUGCCUUACUGGUUGCCACCCACCCAAACGGAGUAGAAGAAGACUGA
Mugil cephalus (flathead mullet) is the source of this 408-nucleotide long non-coding RNA. RefSeq lists it as uncharacterized. NCBI's taxonomy places the organism in Eukaryota, Metazoa, Chordata, Actinopteri, Mugiliformes, Mugilidae. The record is from RefSeq and is a predicted model, not a curated record. The transcript has 3 exons.